GAGAUGGCUGGAGGACGCUUCAUAGGACUUGAAGGAACAGUCAAUGUACCUGAGGAGGAGGGUGAUGCAAAACAAGAGCUCCGUAGAAGACUCUGUCAGGCUGAGGACAGAUACAGGUCACAGAAGAAACUCCAUGACUACAUGUUGGAGGAUGGAGAAGAAAUUCACCAUCAGCUAACGGAGUUAGAAGCAGACAAUAUGUACCGGACCAGAAAAGUGAACGAGUUGACACGGGUGGUAGAAAAUCACCGGGAGAAGCGUUGUUUCAUUUACAUUAAGCAACUGGUAAGUGACACACCUACAUUUCUUAUUUUGUUCAUUUUACUGAGGUGGGGGUAUAAAACAUUAGAGAAUG
Molecule: long non-coding RNA, 355 nt
Organism: Larimichthys crocea (large yellow croaker)
Lineage: Eukaryota; Metazoa; Chordata; Actinopteri; Sciaenidae
Exons: 3
Source: RefSeq, a predicted model, not a curated record